GCGUGUACCACAUGCAAGAUCGCACGAGAAAGUCCGCAAGGAUGAGUAAAGUGGCGUAUUGGUUAGUAGCACGUGGAUCAUCUACCUCAUAGUGGGGAAUACCUCCGGGAAACUGGGGACAAUACCGCAUAAGCUCGUGAGAGGAAAGCAGCAAUGCGCUGUGAGAGGAGUCCGCGGCUGAUUAGCUAGUUGGUGAGGUAACGGCCCACCAAGGCGAAGAUCGGUAGCCGGCCUGAGAGGGCACACGGCCACACUGGCGCUGAAACACGGGCCAGACUCCUACGGGAGGCAGCAGUGGG
Molecule: ribosomal RNA, 299 nt
Filed under: uncultured Acidobacteriota bacterium
Lineage: Bacteria; Pseudomonadati; Acidobacteriota
Description: uncultured Acidobacteria bacterium partial 16S ribosomal RNA
Rfam family: Bacterial small subunit ribosomal RNA
Source: RNAcentral